RNAcentral lists this long non-coding RNA (1029 nucleotides) under Anas platyrhynchos platyrhynchos (common mallard). RNAcentral describes it as "lncRNA (ENSAPLG00000020152.1)". Lineage: Eukaryota; Metazoa; Chordata; Aves; Anseriformes; Anatidae. The record is from RNAcentral.
GUUCAGAGUUUUUGUAAUGCCAUAAAAGCCUGCUUAUUCUCCAGUACAAGAUACAAGGACUAGCAGAUCCUCUCCAGUUCAAUUUCUGUCUUUUAAAACUUGUAGUACUUUCUGCAUGUUGAUAAUCACUAUGAGCUUUUGGCACUUCAGGACACCAGUACCUCUAGCUUUGAAGUACAAGCUUCCCUGUGUUUUGGUUAUAACCAAACACCAGGACCAUCUAGUCUUCAAGUCCUCCUCACCAAAUUAGACAGGAAUGAAGUUUUAAUGUAAUUCAUAUAAUACUAGCUUGGCCAGAUUCUUCUUAAAGAGGUGGCUCAUGGAGGACACUUACCUCAGUAUCAAACAUUGGUCAUGCCAAACCUGAACAGAAGGCCAUAUAGCAGACAAAUUUUUUUUUUUUUUUUAAACCCCUUUUAAUCAGCUGCACUUCUAGAUCUCUCUACACUGUUGUAAUAUUCCAAAGAGAUGGACAGAAAGUAAUCAGAAGAGUCUGAAAAACUUAUCCUUCAACGAAAGACAAAAGCUGACCUAAAAGAAUUACCUGUUACUGAAAAGACUUGUGGGAGCAAAGAACACUUUAUUAUGAAGGGGAAAGAAGAGUACAAGAAAAUACAGAAGCUACCGAGUGUGUUUAGUCUGCUCCUUUUGUGUGCUGUGUUUGAGAGCAUGAACAAGGACAGCAUGCAUAGCAAGGACUUAGCAGUGACAACUGUCAAUAUAGAAGAGAUGGAAUGUCUCCAGACUGCCGCAGCUUGUUUGAAAAUACAACAGAACAUUGGUUUGCUUGCUAUUAGAAAGGUAAGUGCCCCUGCUAUUACAUAUGACAGUCCCUACUGGGUUACAUAGAUUAAUGCAAAGGCUGUCAUAGUCUUUCCUCAACAGAUGGUGAACCCAAGACAGUGAGAGGAUAUUAGUUCAGUGUAUAAUAGGUAUUGAUGUUUAAGAUGUUGAGACAUGGAUUUGAGGAGGGGAAAAAAUAUUUAGAAUUGCCGUUCAUACAAAAUUCAUUCUGAACAUCAGUUCUGA